Molecule: long non-coding RNA, 1022 nt
Filed under: Nicotiana benthamiana
Lineage: Eukaryota; Viridiplantae; Streptophyta; Magnoliopsida; Solanales; Solanaceae
Description: long non-coding RNA (NBEN_LNC023092)
Source: RNAcentral
AAUUAGCCCCUACCCAACCCCAAAUCAGGUCGACUCGACCUAAUCUAAUACCCAAACUCAUUUCCCCACCUAAAACAAAACCUAGACCUAAUAUACAAAAUACAAUACAUACAUAUACAUAGAAGACAUGCUUAGAAAUUGAGAGAAGGGAUGCGCAGCUCUAGCUUCUUCUUAACAAAAUAAACGCCUCUAUACACGAUAUAAUACACGCCUGGAAGAGGCAUAGCUGCGCAGGAGAUCCUGUUGGCGGCUUUCUUCUGAAGCGAAGACAGUGGUGUAACUCAGAGAAGCGACCGACCUCUCUUGAUUUUCUAGGGAGAACCCACACAAGGCAACAGCCAUAAGUGAAUUCUAGCCAUUAUCGAAAUCUAGCAGGCGGAUUUAGUCCUCUUUAACGUCCCUCUCUCUUUUCUUUCAGAGCCGCUGCUGCGUCCCCGUUGUCCAUGGCGAAGUGACCGGUGACGACGCCCUCUCUCCUCCCUCAGUUUUGUUUCCAUCACUGAUUGAUGUGACGAGCCAUGGUCAAAAUGACCUCAUUCCUCUUCUUCCCCGCCCUAUGUCAUCGUUAACAGUUUGGUGACAGAUCUGGCCGGAAAAACGCCAUGAACGGCGACCUCCAUACAUACGUACCAAAAUAAAAAUAGAACAAGAAAAUCUGUACAGAAAGUUGAUGGAAGAAAAGUUGCUUUUAGGUUCGAAUUCCAGUUGCCAUUCGUUAGAUUUUUGUUUCUGCUACGGUUGGUUAAGACACGGCUAAGUCCAGGUUGUUUGGUCUCCGGUUCGAGUUCCGUCCAUGAGAUCGUCAGAUUGAGUUCUUUUAUUUUCCAUGUAAGGUUAAUUUCAAUUUUCUAAUGUUUUGAUAAUACCACUGCAUUGGUUGGUCAAUUUUGUCGCUAUUGAUUUGCAUCUCCUUGUUAUUCUCAUUCGUAUGUAUUCACAAUUGUCUCUGUAUGUACAUGAACUGUUUUGUCUGGUAAUUUGUUUCACUUCUGCAUUUAUCUAGAAGAAUCUAACCUCUUAAC